Choloepus hoffmanni (Hoffmann's two-fingered sloth) is the source of this 177-nucleotide unclassified non-coding RNA. It matches the Rfam family "Nuclear RNase P". Rfam says of the family: Ribonuclease P (RNase P) is a ubiquitous endoribonuclease, found in archaea, bacteria and eukarya as well as chloroplasts and mitochondria. Its best characterised activity is the generation of mature 5'-ends of tRNAs by cleaving the 5'-leader elements of precursor-tRNAs. Cellular RNase Ps are ribonucleoproteins. The record is from Ensembl. Lineage: Eukaryota; Metazoa; Chordata; Mammalia; Pilosa; Megalonychidae.
UCUGAGACUAGGGCCAGAGGUGGCUCUAUCAGGGACCUCCCUGAGCCUUAGGGAAGUGAGUUCCCAGAGGACAGGGCUUCAUGUGAGGGUUCAGCUGAACAGCCGUUUGCUGAAAAGGCUGUGCCUGAAUACAGAGCCAGUCAGCCAUUGCAGUGGAAGUCAGGAUUGAAAAUGCAG